This is a long non-coding RNA of Bubalus bubalis (water buffalo), 2098 nucleotides long. RefSeq lists it as uncharacterized. The transcript is spliced from 4 exons. NCBI's taxonomy places the organism in Eukaryota, Metazoa, Chordata, Mammalia, Artiodactyla, Bovidae. The record is from RefSeq and is a predicted model, not a curated record.
CAGACGCUGCGGCUCGCCGGGCCCAGUGAUCGCCUAAUUGAUGGUGCAGCCGGCAGACUCCACGCAGCCGCCCUUCCGGUGCGCCUGGAGCGCAGCGCUCUCCGCGGGCUUUGUGGUUUCUGGAUCCAUCCCGGGAUGGGCUUCCGGGAGUUCAGGAGAGGGAGGGGAGGGCCAGAGCGGGGACACUCACGACCCUCGCGCCCCUGCCACCCCGCUUUCUCCAGGCUUUCUCGUCCUCCUCCUCGCCGCUACAAGUAUUGUGCCUUUCUAUUUGUCUUUCUUUCAUUCCACCCCCCACCCCCCUGCCCUUUGUGUUUUUCCACUCUAUUUCUCUAUAAACUUCUAUUUCUUUCUCUUCUCCUUUUAAUUUUUUUUUCCUUUCAUUUUUGGCCCUGCCACUUGGCAAGUGGGCUCUUAUUAAUUCCCCUACCAGGGAUCGCACCUGUGCCCCGUGCACUGGGAGUGUGGGGUCUUAACCACUGGACCCCCAGGGAAGCCCCUCUCAUCCCCUUUUCAGUUAGCUCACUAGUCUCUUUCCUACUAGUCUUCUCCACUACCACCACCGCCACCCCCUCCUUCCCCAGGUUUCUGUCUCCAUCUCCCAUUUCCUUCAGUUUCCAAAAUUAUUAGCGCUGAGCCUGGAAGAGUUUCCAGCUGAUCGUUACACCCUGGAGAAGAUUGCAUUUAAGUUACUCCCAUCACCAUCAUCUCCGCCUCCAGUUCCUGCAGGCCUGGGCAGUGUCUUCUGUUUCUCAGGGGAAACUGAGGCCAGUAGAGGUUGCCCAACUGCCCUCCCCCGACAACUCUGCAGUCUCUCCCAGCCCCCACCCAGCUGCCAGGAAUGGGACCACCCAUGAGUACAGAACAGAAAAAAAAGGUCCUUUGUUCCAGGAGAUGCUAGAGACCCAGCUGAGAAGAGAAUGAACUUGCAAACCUGAUUCAACCACAGGCCUUGGCCGUGACCAAUAAAGGAUGCUCCUGCAAGCAGCUCCCUAGCUCUCCCCAGACCUGCCACCACCACCUCCAUCAUCUCCACCUGCCAGUCUGCCUGACUCCAUCUGCAGAGGAGAGACACGGCUGGAAACUGAGAGAGGAGGCUUCACAGGGCCCCACUGCCUGGACCACGGGCACUGGGUUAGAGCAAGGCAGCCCUUCAUCAUUUCUAGCAAAGUCUGUUUCCUACUUGGCAGGGGGCACUGUUCCUCUCUGGGCACCUUGGAGUCUCCUGCCUUCCAGGAAAAGCAUCAGGGAAACCUUGGGUCACCUCGCUUGGCUGACAUCACCCAUCUAGACCUCAUCCAGUCCCAGGUCCCGCAAAAACAAAAGCCGUUGGACCUCAAAGGGUUUCCCUUCUUUCAGCCAGAAUACCUCUCGAAAAUGAUCUUCUUGAUAAGAAAGAUCUCUCUGUGCUGAGGUGGGCAGAUAAAUUAAGUUAAAAAAUGGAAAAUGUCAACACACUGCUCAGUCCAGCUCCACGUUUUAUUUUUUGGCCGCUCCACACAGCAUGUGGGAUCUUAGUUCCCCAGCCAGGGAUCGAACCCACACCCCCUGCACUGGAAACUUGGAGUAGUUCUAACCAUUGGACUUCUAGGAAAUCCACCCCCUCUCCAACCUACUUUUUAAAAAUACACACCUUAAAAAAAUAAGAAGCUGCCAGAAUAUUAGCCAAAAGCAUUCCCUUUGGUUAUGUCUGAGGGUAGGAUGACAGAGGACAUUCUAUGCUCCAUGUUUCUACGAUGUUUUCAUUGAAGGAUUGCUUAUGUAGUCAGGAAUAACAGAGUGUUUGAAAAGGGGAAUGGCGAGGGGUUCUUGGGGUCCUUGAUGUCUUGAGAAGCCAGGUGGGUUGACAGGCAGGAUUCUAGAACAGUUCAUUCAAGAGUCUGAGAGACCACUUUGCCCAGGUUGGGGAAAUUUCAGCCUUUGGUCCAGGACUGAGUCAUCCUGAAGCAGGAAGGAAAAUUGAGUGAUGCUAAAGAAAUCUGAGCACCGAAGAACUGAUGCUCAUGAACUGUGGUGUUGGAGAAGACUCUUGAGAGUCCCUUGGACUGCAAGGAGAUCAAACCAGUCCAUCCUAAAGGAAAUCAACCCUGAAUAUUCA